AGUGGCGCUGUUGCACCUUCUUCACAGCACUGUCUGUGUGGGUGGACCACCUUCCCCAGUCCCAGGACACCUGUAUCUUUGUAGUGACUGGGUGUAUUGACACACAAUUCAAAGUGUAAUGAAAAACUUCACCAUGCCCAAAGGGAGGCUGUAACACAACAAAAUGUGGAAAAAGUCAAGAGGUGUGAAUAUUUUCUGAAGGGACUGUAAAUAGAUGGAGCACCAAUUCGCUAGCCUGGAUUUUGGAUCAUGCAUAGUGGGUCAUUCAAUGGAGUCAAUAGACUGAAUAUGAAAUGUUCAAAUAUGGAACCAAAGCGUUUGAACAUUUUUUGUUCUCAUCUGUUCAUGCAGCAGAUUGGAAUGCAAAGUUUGUUUGCUCAAGGCCAGGGGAGAGACACUAUAACUGGCCAACGGUGCCAAGUUUGGGCCGGAGACAUGAAGGUGUCUGGCUGUAAUACCAAGGGCCUGAAGUCGAAAGUGUGGCAGAUGCUACCUUGCCACGGAUGAGGGUCCAGACUUUGCAACAUACCCCACCCACUCUUACCAUUUACUUUAAUAUUCUGUACACACUGAAAUUACUUUAUAGUGUACAGUAUCAUAGUACAGUACCCUCAAACACAAAUGUCCCACUACACCUAAUUUCCCACUAAUGCUGAUUUAUAGGCCUAGCCCACUUCUAGGAUAAAGAACAAAACUGUUACUGUCAUUCACCAGUGUAAAAAACAUUUCUGGGGUUAAUUGAAAUUGACAACAAAAAAAUGUAUACAAAUAUACUUAAUCAAAAAUGAA
Long non-coding RNA from Oncorhynchus keta (chum salmon), 789 nucleotides. RefSeq lists it as uncharacterized. The transcript has 3 exons. NCBI's taxonomy places the organism in Eukaryota, Metazoa, Chordata, Actinopteri, Salmoniformes, Salmonidae. The record is from RefSeq and is a predicted model, not a curated record.